CGAAAGGAAAAAACAAAUCAAAUUACCGAAAAAACACUGUUGACUGAUCAAGGACGGGCGGGCAGCAAAGUAUUGAUGAACUUCAACAGGUUAGAAGGAUGAAAGAUUAUGCAGUCAAAAGCAAUUUCAUAUUGAUCCAGCCUGCAUACGUGAGGUUCAGGAGAUCUCUCUUUCAAGUCAGUUCCAACAUAAGCACAUUGUUCAAUAUUAUGGCACAUUCAAGGACAAGACCAAACUUUAUAUCUUUCUUGAGCUUGCAACUGGAGGUUCACUUUUAAAUCUCUAUCAAAAGCAUAAACUGUCAGACUCCCAAGCCUCUAAAUACACAAGGCAGAUUGUGAAAGGUUUGAAAUAUCUACAUGAGCAUAAUGUAGUUCACAGGUGAUUCAAAUGAUCUUACUACUACAUUUUUUGGUUAUAUUGCUUGUGCUUUAUUUGUUUAUACCUUGCUCUAUCCACAUGCCAUUACUGCUUGAAACAUGUGCUGAUUAUUUCAAUUAUCUGCCUUUGCUACCAAGAGAAUUGCAUAUGCAUAAACUAAAUGGCCUUCUUACUCAGGGAAAAUUGGUUCACUCUGUUGAGAAAGUUCUUCAGUUUUUAUUUUAUUAUUUUAUUUUUGUUUUUAUCUUCUUGAAACCUUCAAUAUUAUUUGGAUUGCACCGGUUAGCCCACUUACUGAAUUCUGUGAUUACAGACUGCUUGGUGAAGUGAAAAGUUCAACACUCCCACCUGCCCUCUUCCAGGAAAAGAAAAAUGGAAAAACCAAAAACAAAAAGAAGAGUCAGGAGCAUGGAUGUUAAACAUGGUCAUUGUCUGAUAACUAAGAUGAAACUACCCAAAGCCUUGGUAUAGAUAUAGAUAUCCCCAAUUUUCUGUGUACCUUACAUUGUGUCUUCACAUGUGGGGUUUACGUUGUUUGUUUUGAGAUUAUUGUGUAUCUUAAUAGUUUAAUCCUUUCAUAAAACUCCAUGUAAGUUAUGAUAUGAGGUGUGGUCCAUUUCCAUUUGACUUCAUGCAAUUAGCUGUAUUAUAUAUCACUUUGUAUAUUCUGCCUCAGUGCUUGAUCUUGCUAUAAUAUAAUUUUUUUUUUCUUUUUUCUUUUUUCUUUUUUCUUUUUUAAUUUGUAAGUCAAAAUUUUCUUUAAAAGCAACAUAUAAGAAAACAUACAUAAUAAUGAUUCAACUUUCUCUCUCUCUCUGAUUCACUUGAUUUGAGUGUCUCUUCAGGAGAGUUUUUGGGUCAUGAUUACAGAAUGGAAACCUGAAAAUUGAAAGAAUCCUAAUGCAAAAGCCAUUUACAAUGCUACAAACUCUCUCUCUCUCUCUCUCUCUCUCUCUCUCUCUCAUAUGAUUGAGAUGGUAAAUGGCAUAACUAGCAAGGCUAGAACCAUGGAGGGAUGUGAUCAUGGGACUCAGAAGUACCACCAGUAGGUCAUAAGGGAAAUUAGGCUUAUUGAUUUGGUCAUGCGCAACAAAGGCCAAUAAUUGCAUUGUUAAGAAGAGAUGGGUGGACAUUGGGAAUCAAUUGAGGUUACUUCAGGAAAUUAGACAUUUGGAAUGACAGUUGAAGCCACAAUGUUGUACAUUUACUUACACAUAAAUUGUUUCUGUUGUAAGACUAAUAGGUUCUGUAUCAUCUUCGAGGGAUAUCUGGUGGAUGUAAAUGGAACCGUGAAACUUGUGGAUUUUGGAUUGGCAAAGUUUUGCAAAUUGAACGACAUAAAAUCUUUUAAAGGGACUGCAUUCCGGAUGGCCCCUGAGGUCAUUAAUGAGGACAAACAAGAGAACGAUGGUUAUGGGUUUGCAGCUGAUAUAUGGAGCCUCGGGUGCACUGUAUUAGAGAUGUUAACUCGGCAACAUCCAUAUCCCAAAUUGGAGCCGGUAUGUAUAAGCUUCAAUGGAAACAAAUAAUCAUUCCAACAUUACAUUCUUAUAAUGCAUCCAAACAUAAGAAUUAGAAUCACCAAAUCUAUUUCUAUUCAAGAAGAUAUAGGAAUGAAAACAAAGUUUUUAUUCUUAUUCCUCAUUCCCAUAUACUAAACAUGGCUUGAGGGCAAUGGACUGAUUUCAAUGGUAUGUAUACUUGUCUUAAAUAUUUGGUAUUAGCAACUUGCCCUAUGGUAAAAGUGUGGUUUGGGUUGAGAAUGGUAUAAAGAUGAGCCUAGGGUUGUCAAUGGAGCCUGCAAAUAGCUGUUGGAUUUGAAGGUUGAAUAGGAAUUUGCACAAGAAGGUUUUGGGAGGUGAGAAAAUGAAAAUGGAUGUUGGUGGAACUGAGAGU
Vitis vinifera (wine grape) is the source of this 2277-nucleotide RNA transcript. It is a transcript of the gene named mitogen-activated protein kinase kinase kinase 1, with no coding region annotated. Lineage: Eukaryota; Viridiplantae; Streptophyta; Magnoliopsida; Vitales; Vitaceae. The record is from RefSeq and is a predicted model, not a curated record. The transcript has 5 exons.